RNAcentral lists this long non-coding RNA (259 nucleotides) under Coffea arabica (coffee). RNAcentral describes it as "long non-coding RNA (CARA_LNC003688)". The record is from RNAcentral. Lineage: Eukaryota; Viridiplantae; Streptophyta; Magnoliopsida; Gentianales; Rubiaceae.
ACCGAAGUUGAAAUUGGAAUUGGGCAAGGAAAGAAAUUAAAGUUGAGAAAAAAUUGAGGGAAUCAAGAAGUUCUACUCACUGAUUGUCUUAAAAAUUUUCUCUCAUGUAUAGGAAAUAAAGAGAGUGAGAGAGUAGUGUGCUAGGCCAAUAUCUUAUGCUAAUCUUUCUUCAUUAAUAAAAGAAACAAGUUUCUUCACAACUUGCCAUGUUUACAUCUGAGUACGCUUAGAGUUAGGAAAUGAAACUAAGCUGUGCUAC